The sequence is a small nuclear RNA, 189 nucleotides long. Its record names the gene U2. It matches the Rfam family "U2 spliceosomal RNA". Rfam says of the family: U2 is a small nuclear RNA (snRNA) component of the spliceosome (involved in pre-mRNA splicing). Complementary binding between U2 snRNA (in an area lying towards the 5' end but 3' to hairpin I) and the branchpoint sequence (BPS) of the intron results the bulging out of an unpaired adenosine, on the BPS, which initiates a nucleophilic attack at the intronic 5' splice site, thus starting the first of two transesterification reactions that mediate splicing. The record is from Ensembl.
AUUGCUUCUCAGCCUUUUGGCUAAGAUCGAAUGUAGUAUCUGUUUUUAUCAGUUUAAUAUCUGGCAUGUCCUAUAUCGGAGGACCAUAUAUUAAAUGGGUUUUUGGAGUGGGAGAUGGAAUAAGAGCUUGCUCCGUCCACUCCACCCAUCGACUUGCUAUGCAGUACUUCCAGGAACGGUGCACCCCCU